RNAcentral lists this long non-coding RNA (579 nucleotides) under Pan troglodytes (chimpanzee). RNAcentral describes it as "long non-coding RNA NONPTRT011128". The record is from RNAcentral. Lineage: Eukaryota; Metazoa; Chordata; Mammalia; Primates; Hominidae.
GGCUUUUUAAGACACCACAAAGACUUCGGCUUUUGCUCUGAAAGGAUCUGGAGCCAAGGGCUGAUAUAUGCUUUGAAAAUAUUACUCUGGCUCCUAAUAAUGAAGGGGCAAUAGCUGAUGCAAGGAGACCGUUAAAAGGCUACUGAAAUAUAAUCCUGAUAAGAGAAGGUGGGUUGAACCAGAGUAGAAGUGGUCAAGUCCUGAAUUUAUUUUGGAGGUACAGUCAACAGGAUUUGCAAAUGGAUUGGAUAUAGAAGUCAAGGGAUUUGUACAGCCCUGUAGGAGACACCUCCAGAGAAAGUAACAGCUCUCAAUUGAUUAGCUGAGGAAGACACCAGACAAAUGAGUUACACUGUUUUGGACUCCCCAACACAAUCCAGCCACCGGCUGAAUGCCACCAAAUUACCUUCUAGUUAAAGGUUUAUGGAGCAAACGAAUCACCUAUUCAAUAUCUGCUUGAAUUUCUGACUCAAAAUACAUCAGGUAUGUACUGUGUGACUUAAAUAUUGAGUUUAUUUUUAUCAAAUACCUGUCAAGAAAGAAAGUCAAUUCUGAAACAGCAGAAGCUCAAAGUUCUAC